RNAcentral lists this ribosomal RNA (346 nucleotides) under uncultured eukaryote. RNAcentral describes it as "SSU rRNA". It matches the Rfam family "Eukaryotic small subunit ribosomal RNA", at positions 594 to 945 of the family's 1831-position model. The record is from RNAcentral.
AUAGCGUAUAUUAAAGUUGUUGCAGUUAAAAAGCUCGUAGUUGAAUUUCGAGAUCAAAUUGUUGGUCGUGCCUUGGUACGCACCGGCAUUAUUGGUUUCUCCCUUCUGACGAACCAUGAUGUCAUUAAUUUGGUGUCUUGGGGAAUCAGGACUGUUACUUUGAAAAAAUUAGAGUGUUUAAAGCAGGCUCACGCUUGAAUACAUUAGCAUGGAAUAAUGAAAUAGGACGUUUGAUUCUAUUUUGUUGGUUUCUAGGAUCGACGUAAUGAUUAAUAGGGAUAGUUGGGGGCAUUAGUAUUCAAUUGUCAGAGGUGAAAUUCUUGGAUUUAUUGAAGACUAACUACUG